Molecule: long non-coding RNA, 1213 nt
Filed under: Coturnix japonica (Japanese quail)
Lineage: Eukaryota; Metazoa; Chordata; Aves; Galliformes; Phasianidae
Description: lncRNA (ENSCJPG00005016913.1)
Source: RNAcentral
UGCCAAUGGGCUAAAAAACCCCACAGUCGGGCCUUCCUGGAAUGCAGCAAAGACAACAGCGGUGUCGCCCACCAGGUGAGUGUUACAGCACAGCCAGGAUGCCUUGGACAUCGUUUGGUGCAGUAUCAGCUCGUACGUAGCUUGGAAUCAAAGACUUCUGUUGUCACACCUCUAGGAGAUGAAAUGAAGCCAAUUUGUCAGCCUUGUACAUGGAAGACUUUUAAAACAGCUGUGUGAACCUACAAAGGUUUUCUGUCUGAAAUCCAUGCUGUGUCUCGAAAGAAUCUGACAUUUUGAUGUAAGAGCUCAAAACGUGAGGAAAAGAACCACCAAACUCUUGCUAAAUGUGUGGUGGAAUAAUUUCCAGUUGCCUUCAACUCUGUUUGAUUGAAUUCAGAGUAUCGUAUAAAAAGAAAUGUUAAAAUGUUUUUCCACAGUACUGCAAACUGCAUUGGUCACAGACCUUGUGGUUUUUUGUUUGUUUUCUUUUCCCCUGUGUACCAUUGGCAGACACAGUUGCUUCUGAUAAGACUGUUCUAAAGUGGAUGUAGUGGAAGCAGUGAUGUUUGUUUUAAAUUCUGUUUAUUUGCUGAAAGGGACACUUCGGCACAAGAUAAUUUUGGUCAGCUGUGAGGGGGAGCUGGUUAGUUCGGGAAAGACAACUGCUUUCCUUGUUUUCUCUUGCAGCACUGAAAUAGGCAGUAAGAGCCAAACAACCACAACCUUAAGGGAAACUUCAGAGAAAAUUUCCACGUAUACUGAGAUCAGAAAUGGUGAAAGCAGACAAACUCCUAACGGGAGCUCUUCCCUGGAAACUGUGCCACAGCAUGGAGAUGGGUAAGAAGUUGAGAAAGGCUGGUCUAUAUUGCUGAACAUAAGGCAUAACCCGGUUUUUUGCUUAGAUAUGUUAUAUACCUGCUAGUGGUCUCAAACAGAUGGGAUCUCUGCAGUCAUGGUCCUGGGCUGCUCUCCAAGAGCAUCAUCUGUUGGCUAGGCUGAAACUUGUCAUUUUUUUUUCUGUUCCUUCCUCAGUGAAGAUAGAGGUAGAAAUCUUCCCAGCUUUAUAUCCUGGUGAAAAAAAAAAGUCUAGCAUGCUUGAGAAAAGGUAGAGUCUGGUAGAGACUAUAUUGAUCAUUCAGCUGAGGCCCAUAAAUAUAUCCUUGUAUGUCAUUGCAGGGACAGCCUGACUACAAUGCACUCAUUGUGCUUAGGG